This 506-nucleotide ribosomal RNA is filed under the name uncultured bacterium. RNAcentral's name for it is "partial 16S ribosomal RNA". It matches the Rfam family "Bacterial small subunit ribosomal RNA", at positions 29 to 523 of the family's 1533-position model. The record is from RNAcentral.
AGUGAACGCUGGCGGUAGGCCUAACACAUGCAAGUCGAACGGCAGCACAGGAGAGCUUGCUCUCUGGGUGGCGAGUGGCGGACGGGUGAGGAAUACAUCGGAAUCUACUUUUUCGUGAGGGAUAACGUAGGGAAACUUACGCUAAUACCGCAUACGACCUACGGGUGAAAGCAGGGGACCUUCGGGCCUUGCGCGAUUGAAUUAGCCGAUGUCGGAUUAGCUAGUUGGCGGGGUAAAGGCCCACCAAGGCGACGAUCCGUAGCUGGUCUGAGAGGAUGAUCAGCCACACUGGAACUGAGACACGGUCCAGACUCCUACGGGAGGCAGCAGUGGGGAAUAUUGGACAAUGGGCGCAAGCCUGAUCCAGCCAUACCGCGUGGGUGAAGAAGGCCUCCGGGUUGUAAAGCCCUUUUGUUGGGAAAGAAAUCCAGCUGGCUAAUACCCGGUUGGGAUGACGGUACCCAAAGAAUAAGCACCGGCUAACUUCGUGCCAGCAGCCGCCGUAA